UGAUAUGUAAAGUUCUACAAGAGGAACUUGAUGGGUGUGAUGAAGUUGUGGAGGCUGACAUUUUCAUAGGCUACCUGAAAUAAGCCAGAUCCAUGCUCAAGAGAAGUAAUUUUUGGGUACAUGUCAGAUGAAUGAUGAGUGGACAUCAGGAAGAUGAGGUUUAAUGCUUAUUUAUAUCUAUUUUGGUGGUGUAUGUGAGAUUUGUCAUCUUAAAUGUCACUAUACUGUACAACAACUACUGCAGUACCUAGAGGCCACAACCAAAUUAUGGCUCCAUUGUGCUAGGCAGUCUUCAUACACAAAGUAAAAUACAGUCCCUGUCCUAAGGAGCUUCCAGUUGGAACAUAGAAGACAAAGGAAUGCACAGAAAGAUGAAGUGACUUGCCUAAUAUCCACAAGAGAACAAUGGCUGAACCCGGAUCUCCUGAUUCCCAAACUAGUGCCCUAUCUACUAGACCACACUACCUCUUUGCAUGUUCAAUAUGCUAAGUUUUUUUCUAUACAUAUUAUAUUAAACAUACCUGCCUCUACCCAAC
This is a long non-coding RNA of Mauremys reevesii (Reeves's turtle), 536 nucleotides long. RefSeq lists it as uncharacterized. NCBI's taxonomy places the organism in Eukaryota, Metazoa, Chordata, Testudines, Geoemydidae. The transcript has 3 exons. The record is from RefSeq and is a predicted model, not a curated record.